This 611-nucleotide ribosomal RNA is filed under the name uncultured Cortinarius. RNAcentral describes it as "eukaryotic LSU rRNA". The stretch from base 221 to 374 matches the Rfam family "5.8S ribosomal RNA". Lineage: Eukaryota; Fungi; Basidiomycota; Agaricomycetes; Agaricales; Cortinariaceae. The record is from RNAcentral.
AGAGGAAGUAAAAGUCGUAACAAGGUUUCCGUAGGUGAACCUGCGGAAGGAUCAUUAUUGAAAUAAACCUGAUGGGUUGUUGCUGGUUCUCUAGGGAGCAUGUGCACACCUUGUCAUCUUUAUAUCUCCACCUGUGCACCUUUUGUAGACCUUUCAGGUCUAUGUUGCUUCAUUUACCCCAAUGUAUGUUAAUAGAAUGUUGUGCCUAUAUAAUAUAUACAACUUUCAGCAACGGAUCUCUUGGCUCUCGCAUCGAUGAAGAACGCAGCGAAAUGCGAUAAGUAAUGUGAAUUGCAGAAUUCAGUGAAUCAUCGAAUCUUUGAACGCACCUUGCGCUCCUUGGUAUUCCGAGGAGCAUGCCUGUUUGAGUGUCAUUAAUAUAUCAACCUUCUCUUUUUGAGUGGUUUGGAUGUGGGGGUUUGCUGGCCUCUUAAAAGGUCUUGGCUCUCCUGAAAUACAUUAGCAGAACAACCCUGUUCAUUGGUGUGAUAACUAUCUACGCUAUUGAAUGUGAAGGGCAGUUUGGCUUUCUAACAGUCCUUGGACAAGCUCAUCAUUAAUGUGACCUCAAAUCAGGUAGGACUACCCGCUGAACUUAAGCAUAUCAAUAA